UCCCCAGAUCCCCGAUGCAGCCCCCUGAUGAGCCUGAAGUAUUUUCCUUAUAUGAUUGGGCCCCAAGGCUGGCGGCGCCGCUUGCCUGGAGCCUAAGAGGAUUAUGACCACGCGUAGGCGAAGUGGGGCUAGGGGACUGGGG
Non-coding RNA from Molossus molossus (Pallas's mastiff bat), 142 nucleotides. RefSeq annotates it as small Cajal body-specific RNA 17. The transcript has a single exon. The record is from RefSeq and is a predicted model, not a curated record. Lineage: Eukaryota; Metazoa; Chordata; Mammalia; Chiroptera; Molossidae.